AGUUGGUGGAGUGAUUUGUCUGGUUAAUUCCGUUAACGAACGAGACCUCAGCCUACUAAAUAGUUGUACCAAUUUUUUGUUUCCUUCGGGGAGCGAUGUGAUUGGUGAAGAUACUUCUUAGAGGGACUAUUGGUGUUUAGCCAAUGGAAGUUUGAGGCAAUAACAGGUC
Molecule: ribosomal RNA, 169 nt
Filed under: uncultured eukaryote
Lineage: Eukaryota
Description: partial small subunit ribosomal RNA
Rfam family: Eukaryotic small subunit ribosomal RNA
Source: RNAcentral